AACGAACGCUGGCGGCAUGCCUAACACAUGCGAGUCGAACGAGACCUUCGGGUCUAGUGGCGCACGGGUGCGUAACGCGUGGGAACCUGCCCUUAGGUUCGGAAUAACUCCCCGAAAGGGGUGCUAAUACCGGAUAAUGUCUUCGGACCAAAGAUUUAUCGCCUUUGGAUGGGCCCGCGUUGGAUUAGCUAGUUGGUAGGGUAAAAGCCUACCAAGGCGACGAUCCAUAGCUGGUCUGAGAGGAUGAUCAGCCACACUGGGACUGAGACACGGCCCAGACUCCUACGGGAGGCAGCAGUGGGGAAUAUUGGACAAUGGGCGAAAGCCUGAUCCAGCAAUGCCGCGUGAGUGAUGAAGGCCUUAGGGUUGUAAAGCUCUUUUACCCGGGAUGAUAAUGACGGUACCGGGAGAAUAAGCUCCGGCUAACUCCGUG
This 433-nucleotide ribosomal RNA is filed under the name uncultured bacterium. RNAcentral describes it as "partial 16S ribosomal RNA". It matches the Rfam family "Bacterial small subunit ribosomal RNA", at positions 29 to 507 of the family's 1533-position model. The record is from RNAcentral.